CCUCCCCCCUCACGAGCGUGCUUAAUUGGAGGUCGUCUGCCCGAUGGUCGUUGGCAUGGUUAUGGUUCGAGGAAGAAUAAGUAUCGUGGUACUGCUUGCUAGAGUUUGAAACUAACACCAGCAAUGAGUUUCAUCCCUCAGCUCUCACCCUCCAACACCUGAAGGUUAAACAAUGAAGUUUUAAUCGGAUUUGCUAGGAGUUUUUGAGGAACUUGGUAGUGAUUCUGUGAAGAUUUCCCUUGUGAAGAGGUCAGUCUCAGGUGUCCGUGGUGAUGUAUCUGACUAUCAUCCAAAUACAACUGGCAAAUCGAGAGCUACAUGGAGCUUGAAUUCGACACAGUGAAGAUCAUGCAUUUGAUUACAGAUACAUCAUCGUAAUCUCCCCACCACAACAACUUUGCUGAAGAUCCCUUCCCUGACGUGAUGAAAAGGGUGGCAGUUGGGGCCGUGUGCUCAAAUUUGAAAACGGCAUCAGACAAUUGAGCCUGUGCUUGAUCAAGCAUAGAGAAAGCAAUGCAGAGUAGGGAUCAUUUCUAGCUCAAGUUCAGUGCAAUUUCAAAUUAGAUGAUUCUAACUCUACCGCAUCUCCAUGCAUAUGAACUGUUGAGAAUGACCAACUACUAAUUCAGGUUUCGUCCUAGCCUCCUAGGAUGGAGUACAGGGAGAGUAAAGGCAAAAGGAAAAGUGCAUUCUUUUGCUCGUGUCAGUGCGCGUAUUGUGUUGUUUGUUUCACCUUUCUUGAAAGGAAGAGAAGUGCUAAUGAAUUUUGCAUGUACACCUCAUAUGAGAAAUUGUUGAUGGCAUAGAGCAUGGUAUGCCACUGAUUACUUGCGUGUCAUACUCUCAAAGUUCAGAAAAGAUUAAGGACAUAGACUCUAAUA
Oryza brachyantha (malo sina) is the source of this 881-nucleotide long non-coding RNA. RefSeq lists it as uncharacterized. The record is from RefSeq and is a predicted model, not a curated record. Lineage: Eukaryota; Viridiplantae; Streptophyta; Magnoliopsida; Poales; Poaceae. The transcript is spliced from 3 exons.